Molecule: ribosomal RNA, 269 nt
Filed under: uncultured bacterium
Lineage: Bacteria
Description: partial 16S ribosomal RNA
Rfam family: Bacterial small subunit ribosomal RNA
Source: RNAcentral
GAGCACGUAGGUGGGUUUGUAAGUCAGAUGUGAAAGCCUUCUGUUCAAAGGAAGAACGGCAUCUGAAACUGCAGAUCUUGAGUGUGGGAGGGGAGAGUGGAACUUCUGGUGGAGCGGUGAAAUGCGUAGAUAUCAGAAGGAACGUCGGCGGCGAAAGCGACUCUCUGGCCUAUUACUGACACUGAGUGUGCGAAAGUUAGGGGAGCAAACGGGAUUAGAUACCCCGGUAGUCCUAACCGUAAACGAUGGGCACUAAGUAGAGGGGUUUA